AGAGUUUGAUCCUGGCUCAGAACGAACGCUGGCGGCGUGCCUUAUACAUGCAAGUCGAGCGCGAACGUUCUCUUCGGAGAGCAAGUAGAGCGGCGAACGGGUGAGUAACACGUGAGUAACCUACCCCCGAAACUGGGAUAACUACUGGAAACGGUAGCUAAUACCGGAUAAUAUCGUAAGUGGGCAUCCACCUACGACCAAAGGGUGCUUAGACUUCGGUCGCGCAUAUUUGGGGAGGGGCUCGCGGCCUAUUAGCUUGUUGGUGGGGUAAUGGCCUACCAAGGUUAUGAUGGGUAGCCGGUCUGAGAGGAUGGUCGGUCACACUGGGACUGAGAUACGGCCCAGACUCCUACGGGAGGCAGCAGUAUGGGAUAUUGCGCAAUGGGGGAAACCCUGACGCAGCGACGCCGCGUGGACGAUGAAGGCUUUCGUGGUUGUAAAGUCCUUUUAGGAGAGACGAAAUUGUUCAGGCCCAAUAAGUCUGUUCUUAGACG
Molecule: ribosomal RNA, 494 nt
Filed under: uncultured bacterium
Lineage: Bacteria
Description: bacterial SSU rRNA
Rfam family: Bacterial small subunit ribosomal RNA
Source: RNAcentral